Molecule: ribosomal RNA, 799 nt
Filed under: uncultured bacterium
Lineage: Bacteria
Description: bacterial SSU rRNA
Rfam family: Bacterial small subunit ribosomal RNA
Source: RNAcentral
AGAGUUUGAUCAUGGCUCAGAUUGAACGCUGGCGGCAGGCCUAACACAUGCAAGUCGAGCGGUAGCACAGGAGAGCUUGCUCUCUGGGUGACGAGCGGCGGACGGGUGAGUAAUGUCUGGGAAACUGCCUGAUGGAGGGGGAUAACUACUGGAAACGGUAGCUAAUACCGCAUAACGUCUUCGGACCAAAGUGGGGGACCUUCGGGCCUCACGCCAUCAGAUGUGCCCAGAUGGGAUUAGCUAGUAGGUGGGGUAAUGGCUCACCUAGGCGACGAUCCCUAGCUGGUCUGAGAGGAUGACCAGCCACACUGGAACUGAGACACGGUCCAGACUCCUACGGGAGGCAGCAGUGGGGAAUAUUGCACAAUGGGCGCAAGCCUGAUGCAGCCAUGCCGCGUGUGUGAAGAAGGCCUUCGGGUUGUAAAGCACUUUCAGCGAGGAGGAAGGGUAGUGUGUUAAUAGCACAUUGCAUUGACGUUACUCGCAGAAGAAGCACCGGCUAACUCCGUGCCAGCAGCCGCGGUAAUACGGAGGGUGCAGGCGUUAAUCGGAAUUACUGGGCGUAAAGCGCACGCAGGCGGUUUGUUAAGUCAGAUGUGAAAUCCCCGCGCUUAACGUGGGAAUUGCAUUUGAAACUGGCAAGCUAGAGUCUUGUAGAGGGGGGUAGAAUUCCAGGUGUAGCGGUGAAAUGCGUAGAGAUCUGGAGGAAUACCGGUGGCGAAGGCGGCCCCCUGGACAAAGACUGACGCUCAGGUGCGAAAGCGUGGGGAGCAAACAGGAUUAGAUACCCUGGUAGUCC